CGGCUCUGGAGAACGUCCGGAUAUGGGCUGCCGAAGGUGCAACGUGUUGGGGUUCCGACACGAAAUCUCUCAGGCAAAAGGACAGAGUGAA
RNAcentral lists this non-coding RNA (91 nucleotides) under chicken gut metagenome. Its description in RNAcentral is "Glycine riboswitch". It matches the Rfam family "Glycine riboswitch aptamer", at positions 9 to 86 of the family's 94-position model. From Rfam's summary of the family: This family represents the bacterial glycine riboswitch. Glycine riboswitches usually consist of two metabolite-binding aptamers domains with similar structures in tandem. The aptamers cooperatively bind glycine to regulate the expression of downstream genes. The record is from RNAcentral.